Long non-coding RNA from Oncorhynchus tshawytscha (Chinook salmon), 3057 nucleotides. The record is from Ensembl. Lineage: Eukaryota; Metazoa; Chordata; Actinopteri; Salmoniformes; Salmonidae.
AGAAAAGGCCAGGCGAGGAGUACUGAUCUGGACACAAUCCACUGGCUGGACACAGAGGAAGGAACACCAGGACGGUACGACAGGAGAGGAGAGUAGAGGAGAGAAAAGAAAAGAAAGAAGGAGAGAGAGACACAGAUAGGUAAGAUAGGGACUGGAGGAGAGGACAGCAGCCCAGGUGGGAAGGAAGGAAGGAAGGAAGAAAGGGGAGAGAGAGGUUGAUGACUGCUACAGGAAUGUUGGGGUCUGGUUGAGGGCCUGGUUGAGGGCCUGGUUGAGGGACUGGUUGAGGUGUGUUGGCUGUGUCACUGUCAGUGGGAAUUUAGUUUGGAGUUAUGGCCACCAGGUGUGGCUGAGUUAUGUUGUGUUUGUGGAGAUCUGUUGGCUGUGAGGAACUGUUGCUGGGCAGCUUUUCCAGUUAACCUUUUUUUUAUUUCAAUACAUUGAAAGUACUUUUCUAGAAGUUCUGCGAAUUGAUAAAAGUGAAAGGCUCCUGAUUGUUCAAUAGGUGAUUCUGAUGUUUGCUACAAGUAGAUUGUGACGAAUUGACUAUAAUAUUACUGUUGUGACCAAGGAAUCUUUUAAUCUCUGUAAAAACCUAAAUACUCAUAAUCAAAUAUCUUAGAGUCACAUGUUCUGUGCUCUCUCUCACCAUCAAAUCCCCCUGAUUUGCUGUACCAUGUGAGCUGAGAGUGGGGUGGGGGACAGGGGACAGGGGGACAGGGAGACAGGGAGACAGGCGGAGCAGCAGGUGUUGGAACAGUUGUUAGGUAAUGUCUAUCUGUGGUUUAUGACGUUGGGACAACGACACUCUGGACCACUAGCAGGAUGAGGAGCAGAAAGGAGAGGGGUAUUCUGCGGAGAGGGGAUGAGAAGGGGGUGCAAUCUAGAGGCCUGUUUGCUGAGGUGUCACACGGUUCCUGUCUUUGAUCAACAGUGUGGUGUCAGGAAAGUGAGGACCAUGUUAGCUGUUGGUUUGCCUUUGUCUUGUUAGAUUCUUUAAGGUUCCUAGAAUGCUUUUAGGUUCUUAGAAUGCUUUUAGGUUCUUAGAAUGCUUUUAGGUUCCUAGAAUGCUUUUAGGUUCCCAAAAUUCAUUGCAGAGAAGGGAAAGAUGUAGUAAGGUAGGAUUUAAAAUGUUCAGUGGAGCCAGCUUUCUGGAUGGAGUUUAGUAGAGAGUGCAACAAGGAUAGACUGUCUGAAUGACCUAUAUCCACACUACGAUGGAGACAUGGAAGACUCUGGGAUGUGGAUGAGACCAUAAAUCGCAGUAAAGCCGUGGGCCGGGCCUGUCAGGGAGGACAUCCUGUCGUUGCCUCCUGUGAAGACAUGCUUCCUUAUAUCCCCAUAUGAAUACUGCCGUUAUGGAAUGAACAAGAGGACGAUGUGGGACUCUGACAUCAUGGAUCCAAAAUAUCAUCUCCACUACCCUCCUGUCUGUCUCUCUUUCUUCCUCUCCUCGCCCCUGUCCUAUCUCCUUCCUCCUCUCUUUCUUUCUUCCUUCCUCUCCUCGCCCCUAUCCUAUCUCCCUCCUCUCUUUCUUUCUUCCUUCCUCUCCUCGCCCCUGUCCUAUCUCCUUCCUCCUCUCUUUCUUUCUUCCUUCCUCUCCUCGCCCCUGUCCUAUCUCCUUCCUCCUCUCUUUCUUUCUUCCUUCCUCUCCUCGCCCCUGUCCUAUCUCCUUCCUCCUCUCUUUCUUUCUUCCUCUCCUCGCCCCUGUCCUAUCUCCUUCCUCCUCUCUUUCUUUCUUCCUUCCUCUCCUCGCCCCUGUCCUAUCUCCUUCCUCCUCUCUUUCUUUCUUCCUUCCUCUCCUCGCCCCUGUCCUAUCUCCUUCCUCCUCUCUUUCUUUCUUCCUUCCUCUCCUCGCCCCUGUCCUAUCUCCUUCCUCCUCUCUCUCUUUCUUCCUCUCCUCCCCCCUGUCCUAUCUCCUUCCUCCUCUCUUUCUUUCUUCCUUCCUCUCCUCGCCCCUGUCCUAUCUCCUUCCUCCUCUCUUUCUUUCUUCCUUCCUCUCCUCGCCCAUGUCCUAUCUCCUUCCUCCUCUCUCUCUUUCUUCCUCUCCUCGCCCCUGUCCUAUCUCCUUCCUCCUCUCUUUCUUUCUUCCUUCCUCUCCUCGCCCCUGUCCUAUCUCCCUCCUCCUCUCGCUCUUUCUUCCCCUCCUCGCCCCUGUCCUAUCUCCUUCCUCCUCUCUUUCUUUCUUCCUCUCCUCGCCCCUGUCCUAUCUCCUUCCUCCUCUCUCUCUUUCUUCCUCUCCUCGCCCCUGUCCUAUCUCCUUCCUCCUCUCUUUCUUUCUUCCUUCCUCUCCUCGCCCCUGUCCUAUCUCCUUCCUCCUCUCUUUCUUUCUUCCUUCCUCUCCUCGCCCCUGUCCUAUCUCCUUCCUCCUCUCUUUCUUUCUUUCUUCCUCUCCUCGCCCCUGUCCUAUCUCCUUCCUCCUGUCUGUCUCUCUUUCUUCCUCUCCUCGCCCAUGUCCUAUCUCCUUCCUCCUCUCUUUCUUUCUUCCUUCCUCUCCUCGCCCCUGUCCUAUCUCCUUCCUCCUCUCUUUCUUUCUUCCUUCCUCUCCUCGCCCCUGUCCUAUCUCCUUCCUCCUCUCUUUCUUUCUUCCUUCCUCUCCUCGCCCCUGUCCUAUCUCCUUCCUCCUCUCUUUCUUUCUUUCUUCCUCUCCUCGCCCCUGUCCUAUCUCCUUCCUCCUGUCUGUCUCUCUUUCUUCCUCUCCUCGCCCAUGUCCUAUCUCCUUCCUCCUCUCUUUCUUUCUUCCUUCCUCUCCUCGCCCCUGUCCUAUCUCCUUCCUCCUCUCUUUCUUUCUUUCUUCCUCUCCUCACCCCUGUCCUAUCUCCCUCCUCCUCUCGCUCUUUCUUCCCCUCCUCGCCCCUGUCCUAUCUCCUUCCUCCUCUCUUUCUUUCUUCCUCUCCUCGCCCCUGUCCUAUCUCCUUCCUCCUCUCUCUCUUUCUUCCUCUCCUCGCCCCUGUCCUAUCUCCUUCCUCCUCUCUUUCUUUCUUCCUUCCUCUCCUCGCCCCUGUCCUAUCUCCUUCCUCCUCUCUUUCUUUCUUCCUUCCUCUCCUGAACUCAGUC